Molecule: ribosomal RNA, 457 nt
Filed under: uncultured bacterium
Lineage: Bacteria
Description: partial 16S ribosomal RNA
Rfam family: Bacterial small subunit ribosomal RNA
Source: RNAcentral
CCUACGGGGGGCUGCAGUGGGGAAUAUUGCACAAUGGGGGAAACCCUGACGCAGCGACGCCGCGUGAGUGAAGAAGUAUUUCGGUAUGUAACGCUCUAUCAGCAGGGAAGAAAUAAAGUCCUUCGGACUUUGGACGGUACCUGACUAAGAAGCCCCGGCUAACUACGUGCCAGCAGCCGCGGUAAUACGUAGGGGGCAAGCGUUAUCCGGAUUUACUGGGUGUAAAGGGAGCGUAGACGGCAGCGCAAGUCUGGAGUGAAAUCCCAUGGCUUAACAAUGGAACUGCUGUGGAGACUGUGCAGCUGGAGUGCAGGAGAGGUAAGCGGAAUUCCUAGUGUAGCGGUGAAAUGCGUAGAUAUUAGGAGGAACACCAGUGGCGAAGGCGGCUUACUGGACUGUAACUGACGUUGAGGCUCGAAAGCGUGGGGAGCAAACAGGAUGAGAUACCCUUGUAGUC